GAUACCCUAUUAUAAAAAUUUAAAUUAAUUUACUAAAAAAUUAAUAGUUAUGUUCUUUAAAUUUAAAAAAUUUGGCGGUAUUUUAGUCUUAUUAGAGGAACCUGUUUAUUAAUUGAUAAUCCACGAUUAAUUUUACUUAUUUUAUUAAUUCAUAUAUCGCUGUCAUGAAUAUAUUAAAAAAUUUAUUUUCUACAUUUACUAUUAUAAUUUAUGUUAAGUCAAGAUGUGGUUUAUAAAUAAGAAUAUAAUGGGUUACAUUAAAUUAUAUUUUUGGAUUUUAAAUGAAAAUUAAAAUGAAAUUGGAUUUAAUAGUAAAUUUAUUUA
This 324-nucleotide ribosomal RNA is filed under the name Schizaphis graminum (greenbug). RNAcentral describes it as "partial 12S ribosomal RNA". The record is from RNAcentral. Lineage: Eukaryota; Metazoa; Arthropoda; Insecta; Hemiptera; Aphididae.